RNAcentral lists this ribosomal RNA (486 nucleotides) under uncultured bacterium. Its description in RNAcentral is "partial 16S ribosomal RNA". It matches the Rfam family "Bacterial small subunit ribosomal RNA", at positions 30 to 507 of the family's 1533-position model. The record is from RNAcentral.
AUUGAACGCUGGCGGCAUGCCUUGCACAUGCAAGUCGAGCGGCAGCACGGGUGCUUGCACCUGGUGGCGAGUGGCGAACGGGUGAGUAAUACAUCGGAACAUGUCCUGUAGUGGGGGAUAGCCCGGCGAAAGCCGGAUUAAUACCGCAUACGAUCUACGGAUGAAAGCGGGGGACCUUCGGGCCUCGCGCUAUCGGGUUGGCCGAUGGCUGAUUAGCUAGUUGGUGGGGUAAAGGCCUACCAAGGCGACGAUCAGUAGCUGGUCUGAGAGGACGACCAGCCACACUGGGACUGAGACACGGCCCAGACUCCUACGGGAGGCAGCAGUGGGGAAUUUUGGACAAUGGGCGAAAGCCUGAUCCAGCAAUGCCGCGUGUGUGAAGAAGGCCUUCGGGUUGUAAAGCACUUUUGUCCGGAAAGAAAUCCUUGGCCCUAAUACGGUCGGGGGAUGACGGUACCGGAAGAAUAAGCACCGGCUAACUACGUG